GAUUGGUGAUGGUGUGAGGGAGGGGGUGAUGGUGUGAGGAAGCCCCCUUCCUCACACCAUCACCCCCUUUCUCACACAAUCA
Molecule: non-coding RNA, 82 nt
Organism: Pelobates cultripes (western spadefoot toad)
Lineage: Eukaryota; Metazoa; Chordata; Amphibia; Anura; Pelobatidae
Source: the annotation of a GenBank genome assembly